This 412-nucleotide ribosomal RNA is filed under the name uncultured microorganism. RNAcentral describes it as "bacterial SSU rRNA". It matches the Rfam family "Archaeal small subunit ribosomal RNA", at positions 330 to 745 of the family's 1478-position model. The record is from RNAcentral.
GCGCAGCAGGCGCGAAACUCCGCAAUACACGAAAGUGUGACGGGGCCAUCCCGAGUGCCGUCCGCUGAGGACGGCUUUUCCCCAGUGUACACAGCUGGGGGAAUAAGGAGAGGGCAAGCCUGGUGUCAGCCGCCGCGGUAAUACCAGCUCUCCGAGUGGUGGGGACGCUUAUUGGGCCUAAAGCAUCCGUAGCCGGCUGGGCAAGUUCUCCGUUAAAUCCAACGAUUCAAUCGUUGGGCUGCGGGGGAUACUGUCCAGCUUGGGGGCGGGAGAGGCCGACGGUAUUCCCGGGGUAGGGGUGAAAUCCUAUAAUCCCGGGAGGACCACCAGUGGCGAAGGCUGUCGGCUAGAACGCGCCCGACGGUGAGGGAUGAAAGCUGGGGGAGCGAACCGGAUUAGAUACCCCUGUAGU